RNAcentral lists this ribosomal RNA (260 nucleotides) under uncultured bacterium. RNAcentral's name for it is "partial 16S ribosomal RNA". It matches the Rfam family "Bacterial small subunit ribosomal RNA", at positions 793 to 1055 of the family's 1533-position model. The record is from RNAcentral.
GUCCACGCCCUAAACGAUGAUUACUCGACAUACGCGAUACACAGUGUGUGUCUGAGCGAAAGCAUUAAGUAAUCCACCUGGGAAGUACGACCGCAAGGUUGAAACUCAAAGGAAUUGACGGGGGUCGCACAAGCGGUGGAGCAUGUGGUUUAAUUCGAUGAUACGCGAGGAACCUUACCUGGGCUAGAAUGCUACCUGACCGGUCCUGAAAGGGGCUUUUAUAGCAAUAUACAGGUAGUAAGGUGCUGCAUGGCUGUCGU